GGUGCUUUGGCUCAGUUGGUAGAGCACAUCGUUCACAUCGAUGGGGUCACUGGUUCGAGUCCAGUAAGCACCA
This 73-nucleotide transfer RNA is filed under the name Clostridiales bacterium. Its description in RNAcentral is "tRNA-Val". It matches the Rfam family "tRNA". Rfam says of the family: Transfer RNA (tRNA) molecules are approximately 80 nucleotides in length. Their secondary structure includes four short double-helical elements and three loops (D, anti-codon, and T loops). The record is from RNAcentral. Lineage: Bacteria; Bacillati; Bacillota; Clostridia; Eubacteriales. RNAcentral also lists the same sequence under 3 other names.